UUCCGGUUGAUCCCGCCGGACCUGACUGCUAUCGGAUUGAUACUAAGCCAUGCGAGUCAUUGUAGCAAUACAAGGCAUACGGCUCAGUAACGCGUAGUCAACCUAACCUAUGGACGGGAAUAACCUCGGGAAACUGAGAAUAAUGCCCGAUAGAACACUAUACCUGGAAUGGUUUGUGUUCCAAAUGAUUUAUCGCCGUAGGAUGGGACUGCGGCCUAUCAGUUUGUUGGUGAGGUAAUGGCCCACCAAGACUAUUACAGGUACGGGCUCUGAGAGGAGUAGCCCGGAGAUGGGUACUGAGACACGGACCCAGGCCCUAUGGGGCGCAGCAGGCGAGAAAACUUUGCAAUGUGCGAAAGCACGACAAGGUUAAUCCGAGUGAUUUGUGCUAAACGAAUCUUUUGUUAGUCCUAGAACCACUAACGAAUAAGGGGUGGGCAAGUUCUGGUGUCAGCCGCCGCGGUAAAACCAGCACCUCAAGUGGUCAGGAUGAUUAUUGGGCCUAAAGCAUCCGUAGCCGGCUCUGUAAGUUUUCGGUUAAAUCUGUACGCUUAACGUACGGGCUGCCGGGAAUACUGCAGAGCUAGGGAGUGGGAGAGGUAGACGGUACUCGGUAGGAAGGGGUAAAAUCCUUUGAUCUAUUGAUGACCACCUGUGGCGAAGGCGGUCUACCAGAACACGUCCGACGGUGAGGGAUGAAAGCUGGGGGAGCAAACCGGAUUAGAUACCCGGGUAGUCCCAGCUGUAAACUAUGCAAACUCAGUGAUGCAUUGACUUAUGGUCAAUGCAGUGCUGCAGGGAAGCCGUUAAGUUUGCCGCCUGGGAAGUACGUACGCAAGUAUGAAACUUAAAGGAAUUGGCGGGGGAGCACCACAAGGGGUGAAGCCUGCGGUUCAAUUGGAUCAACGCCGG
This 912-nucleotide ribosomal RNA is filed under the name uncultured archaeon. Its description in RNAcentral is "bacterial SSU rRNA". It matches the Rfam family "Archaeal small subunit ribosomal RNA", at positions 1 to 921 of the family's 1478-position model. The record is from RNAcentral.